UGGGGAAUUUUCCGCAAUGGGCGCAAGCCUGACGCAGCAACGCCGCGUGGGGGAAGAAGGCCUUCGGGUUGUAAACUCCUUUUGCGAGGGACGAAGAUCUGACGGUACCUCGCGAAUAAGCCACGGCUAACUACGUGCCAGCAGCCGCGGUAAUACGUAGGUGGCGAGCGUUGUCCGGAUUUACUGGGCGUAAAGCGCGCGCAGGCGGACCGGUCAGUCCGGGGUGAAAUCUCACGGCUCAACUGUGAGGGGUCCCCGGAUACUGCCGAUCUCGAGGCGCCUAGAGGAGAGUGGAAUUCCCGGUGUAGUGGUGGAAUGCGUAGAUAUCGGGAGGAACACCAGUGGCGAAAGCGGCUCUCUGGGGGUGGCCUGACGCUGAGGCGCGAAAGCGUGGGGAGCGAACCGGAUUAGAUACCCCCGUAGUCC
This 426-nucleotide ribosomal RNA is filed under the name uncultured prokaryote. RNAcentral describes it as "bacterial SSU rRNA". It matches the Rfam family "Bacterial small subunit ribosomal RNA", at positions 355 to 796 of the family's 1533-position model. The record is from RNAcentral.